UACGGGGGGGGCAAGCGUUGUUCGGAAUUACUGGGCGUAAAGGGCUCGUAGGCGGCCAACUAAGUCAGACGUGAAAUCCCUCGGCUUAACCGGGGAACUGCAUCUGAUACUGGAUGGCUUGAGUUCGGGAGAGGGAUGCGGAAUUCCAGGUGUAGCGGUGAAAUGCGUAGAUAUCUGGAGGAACACCGGUGGCGAAGGCGGCAUCCUGGACCAUGACUGACGCUGAGGAGCGAAAGCCAGGGGAGCAAACGGG
RNAcentral lists this ribosomal RNA (253 nucleotides) under uncultured bacterium. RNAcentral's name for it is "partial 16S ribosomal RNA". It matches the Rfam family "Bacterial small subunit ribosomal RNA", at positions 524 to 776 of the family's 1533-position model. The record is from RNAcentral.